RNAcentral lists this ribosomal RNA (497 nucleotides) under uncultured bacterium. Its description in RNAcentral is "partial 16S ribosomal RNA". It matches the Rfam family "Bacterial small subunit ribosomal RNA", at positions 28 to 507 of the family's 1533-position model. The record is from RNAcentral.
GACGAACGCUGGCGGCGUGCCUAAUACAUGCAAGUUGAGCGCUGAAGGUUGGUACUUGUACCGACUGGAUGAGCAGCGAACGGGUGAGUAACGCGUGGGGAAUCUGCCUUUGAGCGGGGGACAACAUUUGGAAACGAAUGCUAAUACCGCAUAAAAACUUUAAACACAAGUUUUAAGUAUGAAAGAUGCAAUUGCAUCACUCAAAGAUGAUCCCGCGUUGUAUUAGCUAGUUGGUGAGGUAAAGGCUCACCAAGGCGAUGAUACAUAGCCGACCUGAGAGGGUGAUCGGCCACAUUGGGACUGAGACACGGCCCAAACUCCUACGGGAGGCAGCAGUAGGGAAUCUUCGGCAAUGGACGAAAGUCUGACCGAGCAACGCCGCGUGAGUGAAGAAGGUUUUCGGAUCGUAAAACUCUGUUGGUAGAGAAGAACGUUGGUGAGAGUGGAAAGCUCAUCAAGUGACGGUAACUACCCAGAAAGGGACGGCUAACUACGUG